GGGUGGGUGCGGGGGCGGGGGGCGUGGCCGGCGGCGACGCGCGCGCGCCCGAGACUUGAAGUAACGAAGCCAUUUUUUUCUAAAUGUUUAAUACAUUCCGGCUCCUAAAUCUACUUGUAGAUCGUGCAACGUACUUACAAUUUGUACAACUUGGCAAAAUAAUUGAAAUGUUAUUUAAAAUAACGCCAAAAUUAAACGUAUUUAACUAUAUUUUGCAUUUUUUAUUGUAUGUAAAAUACUCAGAUUAUAUGUUGCUCAGACUUUUGUAUAUUUGCUAUAAUUUCUAUCACAUGCAUUUUUCGUCCCUUAAUUUUAAGGUAUAUUGUAUUGUAGUGAUGUGAAAUAUUUCUGAUAGGUCUUUAAUUUUGUGUCAACUGCCACGAUACUUUCGUAAAAUAUCUCUUAUAAAUUAUAACAAUUUUCGGCUGCAAAUAGCAAACAUUAAAUAGGAGAUAUGAACAGAAACGAUUGUGUAAAAAAAGGUUAUAAAAUUUCUGAAAAAAAAAUUGUUAUACCUAAUUUUUUUUUCUUAUCACAUCGAUUAACAUUAGAGUGAACGGGGAGCAAAAGAUAAUAUGAACAUACACUUCGUUUCUAUGUUGUAAAAUUCCAACAUUGGUGUAUUAUCCUUAUCGUAUACCAAUAGUAUACAUCGCCGCUAUACUUACUCAACCUCGUAUCUGCAACACUCAUUUGAUGACACACCCGUAUUCCGAAUGAAAGAAAAGCGACAUUUCCAUCAAAUGAUUGUUGCAGAUAUGAGGUUGAGUAAGUAUAGCAUACAGGUAUAUAUUUCAAAGGGGUGCGAAACCAUUUUUGUACAGUCAGCAGCAGAAGUUUCUAAGCGGGCGAGGUGUUCAAAAUUACCUUGACACGCUCUUAUUCUCUUAACAAUAAAGUCGCGUCGCGUCAUGUAACUUCUGCUGCUGACUGUAUGUUUGAAAAGACAUUUACAUUUUAGCUAAGGCAUAGUCAAAUAAAAGGGGUAUAAGUUAUAAUCAGGGAUCGAAUACCGGUAUAUAUAUAUUUUUUUCAUUUUUUUUUUUUCAUUUUUUUUCAAAGGCACAUAUACAUAAUUAAUUUCAAAAUUACUCGCCAAACUGCGUAUGCAGUUUGUUGGCGAGAAAGCGCUCUUUUUUACAAUUUUAUGCACCUACUUAAGUUGCUAUCUUACUAUGCUUACCCUAAGUUUGACAUUAAAAUUAGUCUUAGAAAAAAUAUACCUAUAUAAUAAAGUAAUAAAGCAUCCUUUUACAAAUAAAUGUUUCUACCUAAAGGAUACACUAUGCUAAAAUAACAAACAACAACAAAUAUAAUUUAAAUAAUUUAAUAAUAAUUUCAUUUAGGUUAUCUGAUAACUCAUUGUCCUUACCUAAAUAGCAUUCUACAAUAUCAAAGAAAUAUUUCAAAUGCUACGUGAUAUAUUGAUUUUAAGUUAUACCGGUAACGAUCCCUGGUUAUAAUAAUUAUAAUGUAGAGUCUCACUUAGUGUUAGCCUUUCUUUUUCCCUAUUAUGUUCUCUAAGACACAAAUACGAUUUUGCUCCCCGCGCAACGCGAUAACGCCUUGUACAAAGACUAAGAUUUAUUAGUGUUGCGUUUUUAACUAUUAUUGACCUAGCGACUUGCUGAAUAAAUUGUAUUUAUAAA
Long non-coding RNA from Cydia strobilella, 1649 nucleotides. RefSeq lists it as uncharacterized. Lineage: Eukaryota; Metazoa; Arthropoda; Insecta; Lepidoptera; Tortricidae. The record is from RefSeq and is a predicted model, not a curated record. The transcript is spliced from 2 exons.